RNAcentral lists this ribosomal RNA (169 nucleotides) under Stenotrophomonas maltophilia. Its description in RNAcentral is "partial 23S ribosomal RNA". It matches the Rfam family "Bacterial large subunit ribosomal RNA", at positions 2769 to 2925 of the family's 2925-position model. The record is from RNAcentral. Lineage: Bacteria; Pseudomonadati; Pseudomonadota; Gammaproteobacteria; Lysobacterales; Lysobacteraceae.
CGCUGAAAGCAUCUAAGCGGGAAGCGCGCCUCAAGAUGAGAUCUCCCGGGGCACAAGCCCCCUGAAGGAACCAUGUAGACUACGUGGUUGAUAGGUCAGGUGUGUAAGUACAGCAAUGUAUUGAGCUAACUGAUACUAAUGAUCCGUGCGGCUUGACCAUAUAACCUCA